This 492-nucleotide ribosomal RNA is filed under the name uncultured bacterium. RNAcentral describes it as "partial 16S ribosomal RNA". It matches the Rfam family "Bacterial small subunit ribosomal RNA", at positions 29 to 507 of the family's 1533-position model. The record is from RNAcentral.
AGUGAACGCUGGCGGUAGGCCUAACACAUGCAAGUCGAACGGCAGCACAGUAAGAGCUUGCUCUUACGGGUGGCGAGUGGCGGACGGGUGAGGAAUACAUCGGAAUCUACUUUUUCGUGGGGGAUAACGUAGGGAAACUUACACUAAUACCGCAUACGACCUACGGGUGAAAGCAGGGGAUCUUCGGACCUUGCGCGAUUGAAUGAGCCGAUGUCGGAUUAGCUAGUUGGCGGGGUAAAGGCCCACCAAGGCGACGAUCCGUAGCUGGUCUGAGAGGAUGAUCAGCCACACUGGAACUGGGACACGGUCCAGACUCCUACGGGAGGCAGCAGUGGGGAAUAUUGGACAAUGGGCGCAAGCCUGAUCCAGCCAUACCGCGUGGGUGAAGAAGGCCUUCGGGUUGUAAAGCCCUUUUGUUGGGAAAGAAAAGCAGCAGGUUAAUACCCCGCUGUUCUGACGGUACCCAAAGAAUAAGCACCGGCUAACUUCGUG